UACGGGGGAUGCAAGCGUUAUCCGGAAUCAUUGGGCGUAAAGCGCCUGUAGGUUGUUUAAUAAGUCUGUUGUUAAAGACUAGGGCUUAACCCUAGAAAAGCAAUGGAAACUGCUAGACUUGAGUAUGAUAGGGGUAGAGGGAAUUUCUAGUGUAGCGGUGAAAUGCGUAGAUAUUAGAAAGAACACCGGUGGCGAAGGCGCUCUACUGGAUCAUUACUGACACUCAGAGGCGAAAGCUAAGGUAGCAAAAGGGAUUAGAUACCCCUGUAGUCUUAGCCGUAAACGAUGGAUACUAGAUGUUGUGUUUUUAUGCGGUAUCGUAGCUAACGCGUUAAGUAUCCCGCCUGGGGAGUACGCUCGCAAGGGUG
Molecule: ribosomal RNA, 368 nt
Filed under: uncultured phototrophic eukaryote
Lineage: Eukaryota
Description: SSU rRNA
Rfam family: Bacterial small subunit ribosomal RNA
Source: RNAcentral